GGCCCGGUAGCUCAGUUGGUAGAGCACCGCACUGAAAAUGCGGGUGUCGCCAGUUCGAUUCUGGCCUGGGCCACCA
This 76-nucleotide transfer RNA is filed under the name Halomonas sp. RNAcentral describes it as "tRNA-Phe". It matches the Rfam family "tRNA". Rfam says of the family: Transfer RNA (tRNA) molecules are approximately 80 nucleotides in length. The record is from RNAcentral. RNAcentral also lists the same sequence under 7 other names. Lineage: Bacteria; Pseudomonadati; Pseudomonadota; Gammaproteobacteria; Oceanospirillales; Halomonadaceae.